Molecule: ribosomal RNA, 253 nt
Filed under: uncultured bacterium
Lineage: Bacteria
Description: partial 16S ribosomal RNA
Rfam family: Bacterial small subunit ribosomal RNA
Source: RNAcentral
UACGUAGGCAGCGAGCGUUGUUCGGAGUUACUGGGCGUAAAGGGUGUGUAGGCGGUUGCUUAAGUUUGGUGUGAAAUCUCCCGGCUCAACUGGGAGGGUGCGCCGAAUACUGAGUGACUCGAGUGCGGGAGAGGAGAGUGGAAUUCCUGGUGUAGCGGUGAAAUGCGUAGAGAUCGGCAGGAACACCCAGGGGGAAACUAGUGGACUGGGCAUGUGCUGACGCUCAGGUGCGAAAGCGUGGGGAGCGAACCGG